UUCCACACCUAAAGAUUGUUUUUAAUUCUUUGUUUUAGUUGCAAGAAAUGCAGGAUCAAUGCACAGAGACUCCAAGAUGUGCUGAGGAGAUGUCAGACCACGUGCAAAAGCUUAAAAUAGAAAAUGCCAUGUUAAAAAUUAGAAUGAAAAAGCGAGUGGACAAAAUUGAGCAGCUUCAGAAAAUUUUGAUGCAGCAGGUGUACAAGGAAACAUAACUGCAGAAGUAGAUGAAGAGUUACUGCACAUUUCUGUGUCAUCUACAUGCCAUGAAAGUCUUAAAAUCAAUUGUCAAUUUCUACAAAAUACCUGCUUGGAUUUGAACUGUGAUUGCAUUAUGUCAUGAGAAAGAAUGAACAUCUUAACUAUGAUGAGUCUCUCAACCUGUGAAUAAGACUUCAGUCAUAGACUUCUCAGCUGCCUUGAGGGAUUGGAUGAGCCUUGGCCAACUCUUGAAGGAAACAAUAAAAUCACUUUAAUAUGCUACUUUUCAUUUUGAAGUCAUUACAGUAUCAUUUGCAAAACUCAACAAGGAAAGAUGCCUGUGGAUGGCCGUGUUCUGGGAGUCACUGAGAUGAGCCUCUCAGGAUUUUCCAGCUCAUGAGGGCAGAGGAGAUGAAGAGAGGCCGAUUGAUGUGAGGGUCGUGCAGGUGGCGCCUCUGAGGUGUGACUCCAAUAAGUACUCUGGAAUUACUUGCUGAGAAAGAAAAGUCUGGAUGCCAAGAAAGGUGUGACAUCCUUGCUGGCUUCAAUGUGAAGAGCCACCCUGAUUCUGGGAUUCUGAUAGGAAUAAGGAUAGUGGACUUUUUUUUUUAAGUUCUCCAGGCAAAAAUUAUGACCAAAUGUCUCCAUCUGAUGAAGCAGCUGCACUCCUAUGGGGGCACUGGGCUGUGUGCUUGCCUGGUGUCUUAUGAGUCUGCAUUGUGUGACGUGAUUGUGUGUGUUUUAGUAUAGGGGAGGCUGUGUGUUUUCUCAGGAGAGAUUUUCCAUUUACACAGCACAAUUGCCAGUCUCCACUUCUAAAAAGUAAAAUCCACCCCUGUUCUACUCUAUACAUGACUCAUUCACCCGUGCCAGAGCCACCUUUUAUUACCCUCACUGCUCAGGUGGAGAAUCUGAAGGGCCAGUGGGAAUGGCCCCAGCUUUUGAGCUCCUGAAUGAAAAAGUCAAAACAUUAGCUCAGGUGUGUGGCCCAAUGCUGACACUGUCACCUGCUGGACAUGCACUUAUGCCUCAGUCACAGGGUGUUCAUUACCAUGCAGGGAGUCCAGCAUUCAUGUACAAGCCCUAAAGCACUGAGCCUGAGAGGUCCCAGACUCUGCCCAUCACCAUGAAGUGACCUCCAUGGUCACAUAACCCAGAGCAGUUACAGGCACAUCUUCCUACAGACGAGCAUUGUCAUCAGUGUCAAAAUCACAAAGAUUCCCGGAUGUUUUGGGUCAGCUCACAGGUUCUAAGACGUGGGGGACCAUGUAGAACAGUUCUGACAAUUCUGAAGGUAUUUUGCUCAGCAGCUGGCCAAAGCUUAUAAGGAAUAAUGAUAUAUUUCAGUAGAUUUAGUAAUGUUCACAAGCCCUAAAGUGCUCAAAUCCUGCCGGCUAAAAAUGGUGAAGAGAGACAGAUAAGAACACUGCACCACUCAGUGUGGUUUCCGUUGCCUCGUGGCAACUCUUGUAUAUCUGGAUUAAGGACCCUCAGCCUCAACCUAGCCUUUCCUCCAUGAGGAACCAUCUCACCGUUGACUGACUAGUGUAGCCUGCGUGGCCUUUAGCCUACGUGAAAUAAAGUUUUGCUUUAAAACAAAUGUAAAUCUCAUACAGCAGAUAAGUGCAGUAGCAGCAUGAUCUUGCAAGUUGUAAAGAAGACAGCGGCGAUGUAGCUGGACUUGAAGCCAGACAGGAGGAAUGAGGGAACUCUGUCACUGAAUUACAGCACGCAGAGUUGAAGACCAUUUAUAGACAAUUUCGUGUUACAGUAGGUAGCCUUUAGCUAGUAAGCAAAGGUCUCUAUUUCUCAGUUCUUUCCUGUUCAUCUUCAUUGUUGUCCUUCCAAAAGGGCAAACAGCCCAAGCAGAAGGCAAUUUUAGUAUUAAUCUAACUAAGGUUUUGUGUAGUUUACUAUCAUCCAGGUAAGCAAAUACAACUGCCUGCCUGCAUGCCUGCCUGUCCCCAACCCCUGCUCUGUGUUUUCAUUUAAUAAAUAUUUUGGUGUUCUACUUACCAUGUGCUAGAUUUUCUGAAAACCACAAAGAAAAUGAGAUAGAGUCUUUAUAUUGACAGAUGAUAAGUUAGAUUUAACAUAACUGACAAAAAUUAAAAAUUGCAACUUUUAUAAAAAUAUAUAUGUCUGAAUACAUACUGAAUGUAAGGUAGUUAACAAAAAUAAUUACACUUGCACUCAUGGGCAGUUUCUUAUGAACUUGUCAAUUUCUAUUUUUUCUGCUUCCUCAUUUCAGUAGAUGAUGCAUAUCUGAACCUGGAAACGGCUUCCCGCUGUAGAGCGUGUUCUGAGUCACUUCCCUUAGCUUCCCCAGAGCAGGUCCAGCAGGCUCUGAGCUUGGCCUCUUUGCCUGAAACAAGACCUCUAGGUAAUGUCUCCAGGGAGGGUGGCACAAAGGAUCCUGGAUCUCCUGAUCACAGCAGCCCAAGAGUGCUGUGCGUGCACCAUGGCUCAAGAAGAUUUAAAAAGGGAAAAGUAUGACUAUUUCUAAUCUGUAGUAUUUCAGUAUUUUUAAUGUUUCGGUUAUCCAUAUGAAAAAGAAUUUGUGAUAAAUAGAAUAAUUUGCCUACAAUUGAAUAUUUCACCAAUAAAAUUGGCUUUUAAUCAAGUGAUAAAUCCUGUAAAAUAGAUAAUAGAUGCAGUACCAACAUAAUUUGAUUCUAGUACACUGAGAUGAUCUUGAAUACGUUAAGAAAGUGUUGUUUGUGUAGAAGAGUUUCAAAUCACGUGAGUGAUGAAGAGACCCUUCUGUUGAACCUUGGUGUGCAUUUUAGGUCCAUUUUGGGUUUGCUCCUUUGUGCUGCUUCAUGAUGCCUUCGGAUAAGGCCAAGGCCUAGGCCUCCUUGUCUCAGUUCCCUCCUGCUCUCUCUGUUGCCCUCCUCCUUCCACCCGGAGCAUGGCCCAGCAUCAGGUUGGUGCAUGCUGUGAUCAGCCACCUCCAUGCACCACACCAAGCAGAGCUCUCUGGGUGACACAGUUGCCGCCACCAGGGCACUGACCUUUACUCUGUGUUCUCCUAGUUCCUCCUGAGGGUGCUGUAGGAGACAUCUGCAAAAAAGAAGAUGCUGGCAAUAUGCCAUCAACCUCAGAGGGGAGUAUUUACCUUGAAAUAACUCACUUCCUGAGGAACAAACUUGCUGGAUCUAAUGUACAGAAACCUGAUUCUGGGUUCCUUUGGGAAGGAGCAUUUUGGGCCUGCUCCUGGACCACCUCAUAUCACCAGCACCCUCUACCCAAGGUCCUGGAGCCAACACUGGAGUAAAAGAGCACAGGAGAGCUCCUUAGAGGUGGAAGGGUAUUGUACAGCACUGCCUAUGAGGCAUGGAGGAGUCUCACAUGAAGGCCGCCUGCAUCCUGGGGGAGUUCCUGAAGCUGCUGCCCAUGUUUCUCACAGGGAGGCCAGGGAAGAUCAGCCCCAUUGUGUACACAGGCAAGCCGUGAACUGAGGACUUCCCUUUCAGGGUGUGAAUUCUGAGGAAUGUUUCUAAGGUGUAGAGAAACAUGAAAAACUAGAAAUCCAUUACGUCUGGAGGCAAAAACAGAAGACCAGAGGGACAGAAGAGCUUGUGCAGCAGUCAGAGGCAGGGAUAUUUGGUGUGUUUGCUCCUCUGCUCACCUCGCUCUUCAACCUCCCUGCUGGAUUUUUGGAGUCAUUUGGGUCUGGGUGUCCCAUUUUGGUGAGUGGCUUGGACUGGAGGAAGUCCAUAGAGUAUGGCAGAGGGUACUGGAGGCUGAAGUAGAAUGAGGUAAAUGGGAAUUGGAUAAGAUGCACUGGCUGCAUUUGGUGACAUUUCUGCCUGACUAGGUAUUCGAAUAUGUACUGCCACUUCUUGGUCCCCCGAGACAGCUGGAGAACUGAAUUGACUUUCACUGCUCUGUAAUCAGAUUGUUUGUAGUAGUUUAAUUUACUCGUCAGGUGACAAUAAUUAUUGAAAAUAUUCCUAAAAUGAACUUUCUGCCAUUAUUAUGAAUAGUUAAGAAAAUUGAAGCUUUCUUGGGAGAUCAACAAAAUGCUGACUUGGUUUCUAUGUAUGCCUCAUGGGUCAUAGAUCCCAGCCACUAGCCUGUGCUUGCACCCUCUGCUGGCCCCAGGACUAGGAGGUCAGGGUAGCCUCUCUGAUGAGCCUCUGACCUCCAGCCUCAGUAGUGGCAGCACCCCUUCUCCAUGGACUUCCACACUAAGGUCCAGAAGCAGGUGUCAGAGAGAGAGAAAGAGACCGAGCUCCUCCUCAUAGGGGGUUGCCGAGGGCCCCCUGGGCUCUGCCUAGAAUGCUGUUGGAGAAGUGCGGAUGGAGAAGUGGAUUAGAGGCUCCAGUGGUUGGUUCCAGUGAAACUAAUCACAGAGUGCUAGAGUGCUACAGACAGCAGAAGACAUUUAGGUUAAUUUUAUCUCUUUCCACACGUAAAAACUAAGGCCCUAUUUUUAAAUGAAAUUGUUUUUCUUCCUUUUAAGUGUCUCUAAUUGUACCUGACUUUUGCUGACACUCCCGAUGUUCAACCACAUAUUCACAAAAUUUCUUUCAUGUUUUUCAUGAGGAAUGCAAUUCUCACCUGCUCUGACAGGUGAAUGCACCAUCCAGAUGUCCCUAUAUACAUCACAUGAAGGAGAUAACAGAUGAGUCAUCCACACACUAACACAGAUGAGUUUAUCAAAUGCAGCCGUUAAGGAUGGGCCCAUGUUACCAAGGAACAGAGUGGGGGAAGGUGCUCAUUCCAAGAGUCUGCUGCAAGAGUUCAGUCAACCCAGGACACCUAGAGCCAUCUGGGCCUGAAGCCAGGGGCUGGCAAGUGACAGAAUGGACCACAGAGUCUUCUCUUUCUCCUUCCACAUUUUCAAUAGACCAUAUGCUGUCAUAGUAUUUUGUGAAACAUUUAAAAAUCUAAAGUACAACAUACACACAGAAAACACAUGAAACCUAAAUAUACAGCUCUGUAAUUUAUCACAAAAUGAGCAUCCAUGUAACUACAAGUCAGGUCAAAAAAUAGAAGUUACCUGCAUCCCAAAACUGUCCUUGUAUCUCCUCCUUUCCAAAGCUAGCCACUACAACCUUGUGUGCUAGAGUUAGAAGUUACCUGCACCCCCAAAACUGUCCUUAUAUCUCGCCCUUUCCAAAGCUAGCCACUACAACUUUGUGUGCCAGAGUUCGCUCUCUUUUAGUUUGCGCUUAUUAUAAAUAGAAUAACUCAGGAUGUGUGUUCCUUGAUUUCCAGAGGCUUUUGCUCAUAAUAAGUUUGAAACAUUCAGCCCUGUGGCCGUGUGUAGCUGUAGUUCAUUCAUUGUCUUGCUACACAGCAUUCCACUGUCAUUCUAUGUUACCUUUAUCCACUCUGCUGUUGAUGGGCAUUUGGCUUGAGCAUCUCUAUUUACCUGGUGCACAUGGACAUGCAUUGCUGUCACAUAUAUUGCUAGGAGAGUAUAUAUCUUUUACUUUGAGUUCUUUAAAGAUUGAAUAAAUUGGGUGGAAAGGAAUGUUGGAAAAUAUUCUAACAGAAAACCAAUUGGAUUUUGGCUCUUUUAAAAAUGGUCAUAUUGAUAAAGUGGCAUUUUAGCUAAGUGUGGUAAAAAUGAUAUGGUUUGGAUGUACCAUUUUUCUUUUUGUUGUUCCAAUCUGUGGAGUAUAUUGGUUUAAAUAAUGAAAACAUGUUCUAUCAUCCCAGCUUCACACUUGCUGUUUCUUUAACAGCCUUCCCAACGGGGCAGGGUGGAAGUAGGAGCCCCACUAGUCUCCCCUUAAACUGGAAUCCCCCACUAUCCACAGAUCGCUCAUUGCAGGGGACACACUGGGCACCCAGGCCUCAAGGUAAGGACACGCUCCAUCACCUAGAGGUGCAGUGCCUGGGAAGACCAACCUUGGAGGGGCACUGCCAGCUUUACAGGGACAGAGGUGUCGGGAGGGACUGACCACUGAUUGGUAAGGCUGUGCUUUGUCGGUGAUGUGAUUGUUUCACAGGUAAUUGGGGAGGGACAGUCCCAAGGCCUCACCUGGCCCUGGUCCUGGCUCUGCACAAGGGCAAUAAGAGAGGGAUGGUGCUAAGAAGGAUGACAUGCUGCUGUGGAAGAUGCUGGACUGAAAUUCAGGAGGCCAAAGAUGCAGUGGUCUCAUAGGAGUGGCUGGAAGUUGCAGAGGUUUCAGAAGCUCACCCAAGAUGCUGGAGCCCCCAUCUCCAGCCCUAAUGCUGUCCACCUUUUCACCCAG
Nomascus leucogenys (northern white-cheeked gibbon) is the source of this 6413-nucleotide long non-coding RNA. RefSeq lists it as uncharacterized. The transcript is spliced from 12 exons. Lineage: Eukaryota; Metazoa; Chordata; Mammalia; Primates; Hylobatidae. The record is from RefSeq and is a predicted model, not a curated record.